AGAGUUUGAUCCUGGCUCAGAACGAACGCUGGCGGCGUGGAUAAGACAUGCAAGUCGAACGCUAUACUUGCCGUAGCAAUACGGCGGGUGUGGAGUGGCGCAAGGGUGCGUAACACGUGGGAAUCUGCCAUGAAGUCGGGGAUAACUCGUUGAAAGACGAGCUAAUACCGGAUGUGUCCGCAAGGGCAAAGCUGGGGACCGCAAGGCCUGGCGCUUCAUGACGAGCCCGCGGCCUAUCAGCUAGUUGGCGGUGUAAAAGACCACCAAGGCGAAGACGGGUAGCUGGUCUGAGAGGACGACCAGCCACACUGGAACUGAGACACGGUCCAGACACCUACGGGUGGCAGCAGUCGAGAAUUUUUCUCAAUGGGCGCAAGCCUGAAGGAGCGACGCCGCGUGGGGGAUGAAGGGUUUCGAUCCGUAAACCCCUGUCAUUUGUGAACAAGGGCCAUUCGCUAACACCGGGUGGCUUGAUAGUAAUGAAAGAGGAAGGGACGGCUAACUCUGUGCCAGCAGCCGCGGUAAU
Molecule: ribosomal RNA, 526 nt
Filed under: uncultured bacterium
Lineage: Bacteria
Description: bacterial SSU rRNA
Rfam family: Bacterial small subunit ribosomal RNA
Source: RNAcentral